This 637-nucleotide ribosomal RNA is filed under the name Mycobacterium sp. Se3Ps_2708. Its description in RNAcentral is "bacterial SSU rRNA". It matches the Rfam family "Bacterial small subunit ribosomal RNA", at positions 381 to 1030 of the family's 1533-position model. The record is from RNAcentral. Lineage: Bacteria; Bacillati; Actinomycetota; Actinomycetes; Mycobacteriales; Mycobacteriaceae.
GCCUGAUGCAGCGACGCCGCGUGAGGGAUGACGGCCUUCGGGUUGUAAACCUCUUUCAGCAGGGACGAAGCGCAAGUGACGGUACCUGUAGAAGAAGGACCGGCCAACUACGUGCCAGCAGCCGCGGUAAUACGUAGGGUCCGAGCGUUGUCCGGAAUUACUGGGCGUAAAGAGCUCGUAGGUGGUUUGUCGCGUUGUUCGUGAAAACUCACAGCUUAACUGUGGGCGUGCGGGCGAUACGGGCAGACUGGAGUACUGCAGGGGAGACUGGAAUUCCUGGUGUAGCGGUGGAAUGCGCAGAUAUCAGGAGGAACACCGGUGGCGAAGGCGGGUCUCUGGGCAGUAACUGACGCUGAGGAGCGAAAGCGUGGGGAGCGAACAGGAUUAGAUACCCUGGUAGUCCACGCCGUAAACGGUGGGUACUAGGUGUGGGUUUCCUUCCUUGGGAUCCGUGCCGUAGCUAACGCAUUAAGUACCCCGCCUGGGGAGUACGGCCGCAAGGCUAAAACUCAAAGAAAUUGACGGGGGCCCGCACAAGCGGCGGAGCAUGUGGAUUAAUUCGAUGCAACGCGAAGAACCUUACCUGGGUUUGACAUGCACAGGACGUGCCUAGAGAUAGGUAUUCCCUUGUGGCCUG